UGGGGGGAAUAAUGGCGUCGGUGAGAACGGGUGUGAAUUUGGAAGCUCCAAAGUAAGGAGCAGUGAAGUGAUAAUGGAGGUGAGAGGGAGAGUAGGAAAGUGAAAAUUCGGGUAGAAGAGGACGAGUGGUGGUCGGGCAAUUGGAGGGAAGCAGGAAGACGGCGGAAAAGAAAAGAUAUGAAAAGAUAUCGUGGUGGAGUUUGGGAGAUGAGAGGAAAGAAUGUGGAGUGAAGUAGCCGUGGAGAAGAAGAGGACAGUGAGAGGGCGCUGAGAAGAAAGGAAAAGCCGGUUGGCAGGAGAUGAAGACGAGAACGAGGAAGAUGACGAGGAGAGGAGAGAUGGCGCGGAUGGAGAAGAUGGUGGAAAACAGGUUGGCAGGAGUGAGGCGGCAGACGGUAGCGAGCUUUGGGAACGCAGAUUCUCACAGCACGUGGUCCGUCGAAGGAAAAGAUAGCCGACGCAGAAACAGUAAUAGCAGAGUGAGAGAAAGCAGAUGAGGUGAAAAUAGAGACAGAGAUGAAAUGUAAUAAUGAGGAGAAGAGAAUGGGAUAAUGAAGGAGACGGAAAAGGACAGAGUGAGGGAAAAAAGUGCGGUCGAGAGGAGGAUAGAAGAGAUUGGAAGAGAAGUAAGAAAACAGAGUGAAAAUGCCAAAAGGGUUAAAAGAGGUUAGGAAAAGAUUUAGAAGUCUGGAGGCGAGACUGGAGAGGCGGCAGACGGUAGCGAGCUUGGGAACGCAGAUUCUCACAGCACGUGGUCCGUCGAAGGAAAAGAUAGCCGACGCAGAAACAGUAAUAGCAGAGUGAGAGAAAGCAGAUGAGGUGAAAAUAGAGACAGAGAUGAAAUGUAAUAAUGAGGAGAAGAGAAUGGGAUAAUGAAGGAGACGGAAAAGGACAGAGUGAGGGAAAAAAGUGCGGUCGAGAGGAGGAUAGAAGAGAUUGGAAGAGAAGUAAGAAAACAGAGUGAAAAUGCCAAAAGGGUUAAAAGAGGUUAGGAAAAGAUUUAGAAGUCUGGAGGCGAGACUGGAGAGGUGGCAGACGGGAGAAGAGGACUUGGAUCCAGACGAGGAAGAAAAGAGGGGAAGAAAGGUAUGGAGAAGCGGCCAGGGAGAAAGAAGAGGAAGCAGAGGGGAAGAAAAGACGGUCGGAUGGAGACAAGCGGAGAAGA
This is a long non-coding RNA of Monomorium pharaonis (pharaoh ant), 1165 nucleotides long. RefSeq lists it as uncharacterized. The record is from RefSeq and is a predicted model, not a curated record. Lineage: Eukaryota; Metazoa; Arthropoda; Insecta; Hymenoptera; Formicidae. The transcript is spliced from 2 exons.